Molecule: unclassified non-coding RNA, 2157 nt
Filed under: Hevea brasiliensis (rubber tree)
Lineage: Eukaryota; Viridiplantae; Streptophyta; Magnoliopsida; Malpighiales; Euphorbiaceae
Source: RNAcentral
GAUCUUCAACAUCCUUCAGCUGGUAAUAGUGGGGAGCAAUUUCUACCAGCCACUCUGGCUUCAGCUCAGUUACCUGCCUCAUGUACUCCUUGGUUGUAAGAACCAACUCAUGGUAUAUGACCCAUCUUGGGAGCACCUGUGCCAACCCUGAGCUGGGGUGUAUGUGAACUGUCUGAGGAUGUUUCACUGUUCUGUACGAUCCGUUCUUCUGCAGCCUUGCAGAAUGAGGGAAAAAACCAGAUGUUAUGGAUUUCUUUAUGGCAUCUAAAUCAUUGAGAUUGGAUGAUAGGUCAAUUUCAACCCUUUCCAAAAGGCCCUCCAACUGGUCUCGUAUAUCUCUAGCUCGUUUCAUACUCCUGACCUUAAAGAGUAAGGAUUACAAGAGUAUAAAGGAUCAGAUAUAGAUAUGUGAAGCCUAUUCGAAAUCCAAGAUGAAAAAUAAUAGUGCUGUCCUAGUUUAAAAUAUUAAAAUAUGCACAUAGAUUCAUAAGAUUUACCUCCUUAACAUUUAAAAGACAGCCCUACUCCAUUAUGAGACCAUAAAUCAGCAAGAAAACCAUUGAACACAAUCAAGAUAAUCUUUAUACCCUUAGCAUCAACAACAGAGUUACAUUUUAAAACGCAAUCUAAAAGUAUCUAUGCAACUAAAUGCCUUUAAACAACAGUAGAUGAGUUCAAUGGUCAUCUUAAAUUUCAGACCUCACUUUCCAACCCCAAGAAGAUAUUUGAAGAUUGAAAAAAUAACAUCAGUUCAACAAUAUUUUUUUGUCAUUAAAUUUUUUUUUCUUUAAUUGAAUUCCUAAGUUCUUGAUUGAAAACCGACUUUCAUUCAUUCAGACUACAAUCUUCACAAGUUCAAAUUGAUGAAAUUUGUGAAUGAGAGAUAUGGGAAGGAGAUUCUGUGCAUGUGUGUGUGAUGCAGAACCGUCUGCUAUAUAUAAGACUCCAUAUUUAUAAUGGUAUAUGGCAUCCUCUCAAUAAACCAUAUUCACUCCUUUAUAUCAGCUGUAAUCAUGACAUUGAUUUUACUAAUCAGUUCAAUAUUCAUAAGAUUCUUCAAUAUGAGACAUAUCCCAUCAAUUAAGGAAAAAUCUCAUAAAUUCCAACACUUCCCUUUGGUGAGAUUUUUGUUGAAGUUAUUGAUCCAUAAUCAAGCUUGCUUUUAUCCGGCAACGAGCUUCUAGAGAUUAUAGGUGCCCUCGCCGACAACUUGUGGUCCUGUUUAGGUGGCCAAUGAGACUUGAAUGAUGUCCUGCAGCGGUGUUCUGAAUAUGUGUACUUCUAGAUCUGUUUCUGAAUAUAAUUUUCAUAACACCAUUGUGUAGAAUAAUUAGUUUCCUUCCAAGAAUUAUACACCUUGAGAAGAGAUAUAUGGUCUCCCACAUUUCCUGUGUGGAAAUUCAUUCUGGCAUUGUCCGCAUGAACUUGUUUGUCCUUUGGACGAUAGAAUAUUGAAUUUCCAACAGAAAGCAUAGCAGCAAUAGAGAUUAUCUCGUCUGAACACUUAUACUUAUCAGAAGCAACGAUCAUUUUGGAUAGCAUAGGAUCAAGUGGGAACUCAGCCAUCCUUCGACCAACUUUAGUCAGCUCACCAUGUUUAUUUAGUGCACUCAGUGCAAACAGGAGUUCCAGGGCUUUUAGUAAUGCCUCAGAAGGUGGAGGGUCCAUAAAAUCAAAAUUUAGUAAGUCAUGAAUUCCAAGACUCUUCAAAGAGAGCACAACAUUAGCAAGAUUUGUCCUUUGUAUUUCUGGUACAGUAUUAUCAUCCAAGUCAUGAUUGUAGUUAUAGGCCGUGUACAACCGGAAACACUUUCCUGGACCUGUUCGUCCAGAACGACCAGCACGCUGCAUGGCUGAAGCUUUUGAAAUAGGUGUUACAAGCAAUGACUCCAUCCCUGUCCUAGGGUUAUAUGAUUUCAUCUUGCAAAAGCCAGGAUCAAUGACAUACUUGAUCCCAUCAAUUGUUAAAGAUGUUUCAGCAAUAUUUGUUGCAAGGACGACCUUCCGGGCCCCUUCCGGAGUAGGUUCAAAUAUUUUGGCUUGAAGCUCGGUUGGCAAAUUUGCAUAUAUAGGGCAGAUAAUAAGCUCUGCAAUUUUUGUCCCUAAACCUCUGGUCCUAUGCUUCAAAAUUUCCUCUGCCGUCUCUAUUUCCUCCUG